GACGAACGCUGGCGGCGUGCUUAACACAUGCAAGUCGAACGGUAAGGCCCUUCGGGGUACACGAGUGGCGAACGGGUGAGUAACACGUGGGUGAUCUGCCCUGCACUUCGGGAUAAGCCUGGGAAACUGGGUCUAAUACCGGAUAGGACUCCUGGCUUCAUGGUUGGGGGUGUAAAGCUUUUGCGGUGUGGGAUGGGCCCGCGGCCUAUCAGCUUGUUGGUGGGGUAAUGGCCUACCAAGGCGACGACGGGUAGCCGGCCUGAGAGGGUGACCGGCCACACUGGGACUGAGAUACGGCCCAGACUCCUACGGAGGCAGCAGUGGGGAAUAUUGCACAAUGGGCGCAAGCCUGAUGCAGCACGCCGCGUGAGGGAUGACGGGCCUUCGGGUUGUAAACCUC
RNAcentral lists this ribosomal RNA (400 nucleotides) under uncultured bacterium. RNAcentral describes it as "bacterial SSU rRNA". It matches the Rfam family "Bacterial small subunit ribosomal RNA", at positions 28 to 433 of the family's 1533-position model. The record is from RNAcentral.